This is a non-coding RNA of Acanthosepion pharaonis, 110 nucleotides long. NCBI's taxonomy places the organism in Eukaryota, Metazoa, Mollusca, Cephalopoda, Sepiida, Sepiidae. The record is from the annotation of a GenBank genome assembly.
UACAGCCACAUCACGUUGAAAUAUCGGUUCCAAUACGAUCAGCGAAGUUAAGCAAUGUGAGCCUGGUUAGUACCGAAAUCGGUGACCGCUUGGGAAAACCAGAUACUGUA